AGAGNAAGUAAAAGUCGUAACAAGGUCUCCGUUGGUGAACCAGCGGAGGGAUCAUUACCGAGUUUACAACUCCCAAACCCCUGUGAACAUACCUUAAUGUUGCCUCGGCGGAUCAGCCCGCGCCCCGUAAAACGGGACGGCCCGCCAGAGGACCCAAACUCUAAUGUUUCUUAUUGUAACUUCUGAGUAAAACAAACAAAUAAAUCAAAACUUUCAACAACGGAUCUCUUGGUUCUGGCAUCGAUGAAGAACGCAGCAAAAUGCGAUAAGUAAUGUGAAUUGCAGAAUUCAGUGAAUCAUCGAAUCUUUGAACGCACAUUGCGCCCGCUGGUAUUCCGGCGGGCAUGCCUGUUCGAGCGUCAUUUCAACCCUCAAGCCCCCGGGUUUGGUGUUGGGGAUCGGCUCUGCCCUUNUGGGCGGUNCCGCCCCCGAAAUACAUUGGCGGUCUCGCUGCAGCCUCCAUUGCGUAGUAGCUUAACNCCUCGCAACUGGNACGCGGCGCGGCCAUGCCGU
RNAcentral lists this ribosomal RNA (513 nucleotides) under Fusarium sp. JJP-2009a. Its description in RNAcentral is "eukaryotic LSU rRNA". The stretch from base 209 to 362 matches the Rfam family "5.8S ribosomal RNA". Lineage: Eukaryota; Fungi; Ascomycota; Sordariomycetes; Hypocreales; Nectriaceae. The record is from RNAcentral.